Molecule: long non-coding RNA, 3182 nt
Organism: Numida meleagris (helmeted guineafowl)
Lineage: Eukaryota; Metazoa; Chordata; Aves; Galliformes; Numididae
Exons: 6
Source: RefSeq, a predicted model, not a curated record
AAAGCUGCCCAGAGACAACAAAUUGUUAUGACACUCUUCUUGUGCCUUUUUGGAUGAAGAGAGAGAUGUUCAGACACAAACAAAGGAAUGGCUUUCCAUCUGCGUUGUAAAUCAACUUGUGUGGGAACUGCUGAGUCAUGGCCUGAACUACCGAUUGAGCACCUGGAGGAAAGACCCAGUCAGCCCUGGGAGCACAGCACGAGGCUUAAGCAAAAGUUGAACUCUACUGCGCAAGGAUAAACUUCUUGAAAGGAAGAUACUUAGCAGGGUGCAACUGCAAAAUCUUCCUAGAACGACCUCUUUGAUCAGCUGAACGCAUCACGAUCCACUACAUCACACAGAGAAAAAUCUUCUUUCUCUCUCCGUGAAUGUAGACACGAAUUCUCUCUAGUUUCUCCACGGGGUGAUAACAGCAAGGCUCCUUCCCUCUGGAAACAUAUACAAUUUUGCUGGAGUAAUAAAAACACCAAAGAGGAGAACUAGCAGCAGACCCAGGACUGACUUUGAUUUUAUUUUCUUACCUCUGUGGAAAGUGAAGCAUUAAAAUCUUUCAAGAGGCCUGCGUCUGGGUAUCCUGCUGCUGCCUUCAGCCCCAUCUCCUGAGGAGUAGGAGUGGUGGUUUUGCAGCCUUUUCAAGUUGUUCAGAAUUGGUUUCCAGUGUGCAAAUGUUAUCUAGAAGCAUUAAGACCGCUCUGAGUAAGAAACAGCUUUGCAUCAACAUGAGACACAGCUCAUCUUCUCUUUUACAUGAGGAUGUAACUAGCUCUGUUUUACCUGACGUAAAUGUAAAUUGAUUUUCCUCCUCCUUCCCAUGAUGAAUUCUCUUCCUCAAGCUGUGCUACUGAAUGGUCAGAAAAAGCAGACAGAAUGUGCCAGGAGCUUGAAGAAGAAGCAAAAGCAAGUUGCAAAGUAUGAAAAGAAUGGUUCCCGUAUUUAGGGGACAGAAAAAAAAUGCUGUAGGGUGGAUGGGUGCAAUGCAUAUCUGUAACCAGUUUCUAAAACACAGAGUCUCUUUACUGGAAAUGUUAGAGGAAAAUAACUGCUGUUCCUGGGAAAUCAAACCAAACCCAUGUCAAAGCAGGUGUUCUGAAGCAUGUAGUUGAGCCACUUAGGACAGCAAGGGCGUAGCGCAGGAGGCUGCUCUUAGUCUGUAAGCUGUGUGUUUCUCUAGAGGAAUAUUCCACUGUUCCAUACCAGCUAGUAUUUUCCUGCGCUGGUUUCUGCAUGCAGCCUUCUGUUGUUUCAUUGCAAUAUUCUGUUAAAAACAGUUGGGCUCGUAAUCCUUCCUCAUGGGAAUAUUGUUAUCCACUUGGUGUAUUCCUCUGGAAAGUGGGAAAGAAAUGCAGAAUCUGGAUGGCUGUCUUUGGCCAGAUUGCCUUCAGAGCUCAUUUGGGAUAUCGCUGGGAAUAUUUCCAGAGGAAACCAGUAUUCUGCAGUGUUCCAUAGGUACUCUCUAUUGUUUUAUCUCCUCAGCACAGUGUGGCUUUGUGUUCUCUGGAACAAUACUGGAAAUUAAAGCUACCUCAGUUAUCUAUUUCGAAAAGUCUUCUCUUCAAGCAAAGUGGCUUGUCCAUCUUCAUGAUUGCAGCAGGAAAUAUUUCUGCAGCUCACAUUCACCAUAUCAGCUGCCAGGGUUCAACAGUCCCUGACUUUUUGAUGUCAUAAAGGAGCAGUUUAUAAACGGAUUGUGCUAUUAUUUUGUCUUUCACGUUUACAGCAGUUCAACGACAAUGAUAAACCCUGUCCAGAUAAACACAGUUUGACAAUAGCUACGAGACUGGAAGUAUAAGUAUAAAAAUAUAUAGAAAAGUAACAGUAUGUUCACUUUUCAACCAAUAAACAAAUAAAUAUAGCCAAAGAAGCUCUCAGAAAUAUCUGGAAGAAAAAGAGAGAACAGAAAUCAGGAUGGAUGGUUUAUUUAUAACAAUGGCCACAGGAACAGGACAUAUGGAAAAAUCAGAACCCAAGAAGGAGAAAAGGGGCCAUGAUGGUAAAAGCCAGACUCUUCAGAUAGCAAGUGUAUAUGUGACUGAGAGCCUGGCAGCAAGUGGAUCUCAACAAAAUACUGGUUCUGUGUGGGAAGCAUUGGAGACAGCCAUGGAUGGACACUUGGAUGCAAAACUGUGUUGGGGAACUGUUUGCCAGUACCAUUCUACUCCAAAAAGUAACUUUGUGAAAGAAAUUUCAAAGCAGCACCUUGUUUCUGAUUGAUCCACAGAAACCAUAUAACAGACAGGGAAAAGCUGUUGUCUCUGUGGUGCUCAGGCAGACUUGUGGCAUUAGUGCUUUGUUGUGGCUGCAUAAUUUUAGCACAGUCUUUAAGAAAAUGUUCUUUAACCUGCCCUUAGUGCAGUUAACAACUGGCCUUUCUUUGUGGAUCUGGUAAGCAAUGCUGGCAUACAUCCAGGGCCUUUCUCUGAGGACUGCAUGCUUCCUAGAGCUAACAGCUAAAGUUAGUAAUACCAAUUUUGUCAUUCAGUGUUAACAGAAAUGAUACAGAGUACAUUCAGAAAAGGAUCUAUUGUAUAAGAUAAAGCCUUUCUUAUAGUCACUCUGGAGAAUAACCCCAUAUGAGAACAGUUCCGUAUUUUAAAUCGCUAAAGAUAGCUUCUUGCUAGGGAAUGUGAGAUACUGAUAACAUAUUAUAUUCCUCUCUUGCUGCUUUUUUCUCUUGUGUUGAUUAGUCCUAUACCAUAGGCAUGAUAGACCAUGGGGCUCACCCUACAUUCCUCUGAGCGUUUUGAAGAAAUGAUUACAUUUGUCAAAUGACAAAAAAGAAUCACCUUAGACAGUCAGGUGAGACACAUCAAAAGUAACUUGAAAACCUGCAGUCCCAGGUCAGCUGUUACUUGAAGACUAUCCAGCUUCCUUUUGCGUCAUUUCUGAUUUGUCUUUGUACAAGCUUCUGUUGAGAUCAGUCUAUAUUGGAGAACUAAACGCUGGGGUUUCUGGGUUUUUUUUUGGGGGGGGGAGGGGGGGGCUCCUUUCCUUCCUUAUCCCCUGGGGAGAAUAGAUUUGUAAAAAAAAAAAAAUGAUUAAAGGGAUUGGGUACUUGUUCCAUGGCAGCUAAGGGGUUUGCCUUGCCUAAUUAAAGAUUCUUUGUUUGAAACUCCAUUGUAAGUAGCCAUAAAAAUAAAACAACAAAAGUUUCAGAAUUGGUCUGUUUUUGAAAUAAAAUAUUC